UUCUCUUGCAGGAUCUCCUUCCCAGCCUUCAGAAAUUGCCGGUCUGGGAGUUGGGGGCAAGGAGAAGAUCCUGAAUUAGACCUUUACGAGAAGCACAGUUUUGUCUUCAGUUUCCUCUCCCCCCACCCGGAAUGGCCUGAGCCGAAGCCAGCUCCCUCCGAGAAGUCAUUACCGCCUGAUGCUGGCUCCCCGUCCCCUGUCCACCAUGAGUCAAAGCAAUGUGAGUCCCUCACCAGAUGCAACUGCCCAGUCUUGGACUUUCCAGUGACCAGAAUCAUGAGCCAAAUAAACCUCUUUUCUUUAUGAAUUA
Molecule: long non-coding RNA, 310 nt
Organism: Homo sapiens (human)
Lineage: Eukaryota; Metazoa; Chordata; Mammalia; Primates; Hominidae
Gene: SMAD3-DT
Product: SMAD3 divergent transcript
Source: Ensembl